Molecule: long non-coding RNA, 804 nt
Organism: Pogonomyrmex barbatus (red harvester ant)
Lineage: Eukaryota; Metazoa; Arthropoda; Insecta; Hymenoptera; Formicidae
Source: RefSeq, a predicted model, not a curated record
CUUAUAUAUAACACCUACGUAUAAAAUACAUACAUAUUUCGAAUGACAAUUCGGUUGGACACGCGCGUUUAGUUUUGUUAUUGUUUGACGUAUGACGCGUUCUUUAUUGUAUAUAGUAAUGCUGUUCUCUACAAAAACGAGCCGGCAGGCAACAGAACGGUUUUGUGUGUCGUAGCGUUACCGUCUCUCGAAACGCGAAAUCACUCUUUAUAAUUUAUGAUAAGCAAUUAUCAUCCUGUCCGUUUAACUAGCUCUUGCCAUUAUUGACAUACGCAUAUCGAGAGGAUUAAUACUGAUUUAAGCAGAGACAUAUUUCAAAUGGAAUCUGGCACAAAAACACAAUGUAAUCAUGAUAAUCGGAUCGAGUGAUUCAGCUAGAAGUGUUGUACAUAAGCUACUUAUUAAUAAUCAAUUUAAUGAACCAAAUACAUGACAUUUAUUCUGUACAUUGAAUAUUUCGCGACAAUGACAAUUAGUGCUCAUUUUUGGAGUAUAUUGAUAAUUCAUGACUUUUUGUCAAUGAUUGAUCUUGAAAUAAUGGAGUGAUUCAGUAUCCCGAAGGGCUCAAUGCCCUAAAGUAGAGAAACCAACAGUAUCUAUUAUUAAUACAGCAUUACCACGAGUCAUUCAAUGGCUCUCAUGUGGCAAAUGCUAGUAGUGCGUUUGACACACUAUCGCUGGUUUUCACCGACAUAUAGCCGCAGGUUUAAUUGAAUCUGCGAACCCAUAGUCGGUCCUCGCGUUGUGCGUUAGUUUCAAAAGUAUUGUACAAAAAAAUAAGUAAAUAAAUAAUUGGACUAAUUA